RNAcentral lists this ribosomal RNA (497 nucleotides) under uncultured bacterium. RNAcentral describes it as "partial 16S ribosomal RNA". It matches the Rfam family "Bacterial small subunit ribosomal RNA", at positions 28 to 507 of the family's 1533-position model. The record is from RNAcentral.
GAUGAACGCUGGCGGCGUGCCUAAUACAUGCAAGUCGAGCGAACAGACGAGGAGCUUGCUCCUCUGACGUUAGCGGCGGACGGGUGAGUAACACGUGGAUAACCUACCUAUAAGACUGGGAUAACUUCGGGAAACCGGAGCUAAUACCGGAUAAUAUAUUGAACCGCAUGGUUCAAUAGUGAAAGACGGUUUUGCUGUCACUUAUAGAUGGAUCCGCGCCGCAUUAGCUAGUUGGUAAGGUAACGGCUUACCAAGGCAACGAUGCGUAGCCGACCUGAGAGGGGGAUCGGCCACACUGGAACUGAGACACGGUCCAGACUCCUACGGGAGGCAGCAGUAGGGAAGCUGCCGCAAUGGGCGAAAGCCUGACGGAGCAACGCCGCGUGAGUGAUGAAGGUCUUCGGAUCGUAAAACUCUGUUAUUAGGGAAGAACAAAUGUGUAAGUAACUAUGCACGUCUUGACGGUACCUAAUCAGAAAGCCACGGCUAACUACGUG